Molecule: transfer RNA, 69 nt
Filed under: Gobiomorus maculatus (Pacific sleeper)
Lineage: Eukaryota; Metazoa; Chordata; Actinopteri; Gobiiformes; Eleotridae
Description: tRNA-Met
Rfam family: tRNA
About the family: Transfer RNA (tRNA) molecules are approximately 80 nucleotides in length. Their secondary structure includes four short double-helical elements and three loops (D, anti-codon, and T loops).
Source: RNAcentral
AGUAAAGUCAGCUAAAUAAGCUCUUGGGCCCAUACCCCAAACAUGUUGGUUAGACUCCUUCCUUUGCUA